GGGGCCGUAGCUCAGCUAGGUAGGUUUAAUCCCUGGAAAGAGCAACUGGCUUUUAACCAGAAGGUCCGGGGUCCGAAUCCCCGCGGCCCCG
Molecule: transfer RNA, 91 nt
Filed under: Thermoplasmatota archaeon
Lineage: Archaea; Methanobacteriati; Thermoplasmatota
Also listed under: 1 other name
Description: Candidatus Thermoplasmatota archaeon tRNA-Lys
Rfam family: tRNA
About the family: Transfer RNA (tRNA) molecules are approximately 80 nucleotides in length.
Source: RNAcentral